Molecule: ribosomal RNA, 1330 nt
Filed under: uncultured bacterium
Lineage: Bacteria
Description: bacterial SSU rRNA
Rfam family: Bacterial small subunit ribosomal RNA
Source: RNAcentral
GACGAACACUGGCGGCGUGCUUAGCACAUGCAAGUCGAACGGACCCUUUGGGGUUAGUGGCGAACGGGUGAGUAACACGUGGGUGAUCUGCCCUGCACUUUGGGAUAAGCCUGGGAAACUGGGUCUAAUACCGGAUAGGACUACGCACUGCAUGGUGUGUGGUGGAAAGCUUUUGCGGUGUGGGAUGGGCCCGCGGCCUAUCAGCUUGUUGGUGGGGUGAUGGCCUACCAAGGCGACGACGGGUAGCCGGCCUGAGAGGGUGACCGGCCACACUGGGACUGAGAUACGGCCCAGACUCCUACGGGAGGCAGCAGUGGGGAAUAUUGCACAAUGGGCGCAAGCCUGAUGCAGCGACGCCGCGUGAGGGAUGACGGCCUUCGGGUUGUAAACCUCUUUCGCCAGGGACGAAGCGCAAGUGACGGUACCUGGAGAAGAAGGACCGGCCAACUACGUGCCAGCAGCCGCGGUAAUACGUAGGGUCCGAGCGUUGUCCGGAAUUACUGGGCGUAAAGAGCUCGUAGGUGGUUUGUCGCGUUGUUCGUGAAAACUCACAGCUUAACUGUGGGCGUGCGGGCGAUACGGGCAGACUGGAGUACUGCAGGGGAGACUGGAAUUCCUGGUGUAGCGGCGGAAUGCGCAGAUAUCAGGAGGAACACCGGUGGCGAAGGCGGGUCUCUGGGCAGUAACUGACGCUGAGGAGCGAAAGCGUGGGGAGCGAACAGGAUUAGAUACCCUGGUAGUCCACGCCGUAAACGGUGGGUACUAGGUGUGGGUCUCCUUCCUUGGGAUCCGUGCCGUAGCUAACGCAUUAAGUACCCCGCCUGGGGAGUACGGCCGCAAGGCUAAAACUCAAAGGAAUUGACGGGGGCCCGCACAAGCGGCGGAGCAUGUGGAUUAAUUCGAUGCAACGCGAAGAACCUUACCUGGGUUUGACAUGCACAGGACGCCGGCAGAGAUGUCGGUUCCCUUGUGGCCUGUGUGCAGGUGGUGCAUGGCUGUCGUCAGCUCGUGUCGUGAGAUGUUGGGUUAAGUCCCGCAACGAGCGCAACCCUUGUCUCAUGUUGCCAGCACGUUAUGGUGGGGACUCGUGAGAGACUGCCGGGGUCAACUCGGAGGAAGGUGGGGAUGACGUCAAGUCAUCAUGCCCCUUAUGUCCAGGGCUCCACACAUGCUACAAUGGCCGGUACAAAGGGCUGCGAUGCCGUGAGGUGGAGCGAAUCCUUUCAAAGCCGGUCUCAGUUCGGAUCGGGGUCUGCAACUCGACCCCGUGAAGUCGGAGUCGCUAGUAAUCGCAGAUCAGCAACGCUGCGGUGAAUACGUUCCCGGGCCU